RNAcentral lists this ribosomal RNA (833 nucleotides) under Perforatella incarnata. Its description in RNAcentral is "Monachoides incarnatus partial large subunit ribosomal RNA". Lineage: Eukaryota; Metazoa; Mollusca; Gastropoda; Stylommatophora; Hygromiidae. The record is from RNAcentral.
AAUUAUUAUUAGAUUUUUAAAUAAUUAUUCACGAAAUAAAUUGAGCUAAAUUUUUGGUAUUUUUGGAAAUUAUAACUAUAUGUUACAAAAUAUAUUAACUAAAUAGAUUUAGGGGUGAAAGGCCUAUCAAAUUUUAUGAUAUCUUGAAGUAUAUAAAAUAUAUCAAGUAUUUCUAAUUCAACUAUUGAAUGUUUAGGUUCAAUAGUAACAUUAUAUUUUUUAAAAAUUGUUCAAUUUUUUUAAGUAAAAUUGAGUUAGAGCAUAAAAUAUACAUCAAAUUUUUAUUAUAUGAAUAUAAAUAUACUACGGUUAUUAAUAAAUAUAAUCAUAUAUAAUGUAAUUAUUAGUAAUAGUUUAUUAAACUAUAUAAAGGAAUUCGGCAAGAAAAUUUUUCACCUGUUUAUCAAAAACAUAGCUUAUUGAAUAUCAUAAUAAGUAACCCCUGCUCAAUGGAAAUCUAAAUAGCCGCAGUACCUUGACUGUGCAAAGGUAGCAUAAUCAAUUGGCUUAUAAUUGAAGUCUGGAAUGAAUGGGUAAUCUGGAAAAUAACUGUCUUUAUUUGUAGUAUUUUGAAUUUACUUAUAAAGUGAAAAUACUUUAAUAUAAAUAUAAGACGAGAAGACCCUAGAAAUUUUUUGUUAAUAACUUUUGUUGGGGCGACAGGGUAACAUAUAAACUUACUUACAUUUAUAUAAAUCUUAUAAGGUACGUAACUAAAUUACUCUAGGGAUAACAGCAUAAUAUAUAAAAGUUUAUGACCUCGAUGUUGGACUAGGUAAUUAAAUAUUUAAAAGAUAUCUUAAUUUGCUCUGUUCGAGCAGUACCACCUACAU